UCUCCGUAGGUGAACCUGCGGAGGGAUCAUUACUGAGUGAGGGCUCCGGCCCGACCUCCAACCCCAUGUGAACUUACCAUUUGUUGCCUCGGCAGAGCCUACCCGGUAACUGUUCGGAGAAGCUACCCUGUAGCUACCCUGUAACGGCCUACCCUGUAACGCACUGCCGGUGGACUUUUAAACUCUUGUUAUUUUAUAGUAAUCUGAGCGUCUUAUUUUAAUAAGUCAAAACUUUCAACAACGGAUCUCUUGGUUCUGGCAUCGAUGAAGAACGCAGC
Molecule: unclassified non-coding RNA, 278 nt
Filed under: uncultured fungus
Lineage: Eukaryota; Fungi
Description: sequence contains ITS1, 5.8S rRNA gene
Rfam family: 5.8S ribosomal RNA (bases 230-278)
Source: RNAcentral